This is a non-coding RNA of Caenorhabditis elegans, 21 nucleotides long. NCBI's taxonomy places the organism in Eukaryota, Metazoa, Nematoda, Chromadorea, Rhabditida, Rhabditidae. The record is from Ensembl.
UGAUGAAUAGGUGAUUAGGGA